Molecule: ribosomal RNA, 451 nt
Filed under: Crisularia turrita
Lineage: Eukaryota; Metazoa; Bryozoa; Gymnolaemata; Cheilostomatida; Bugulidae
Description: partial 16S ribosomal RNA
Rfam family: Bacterial large subunit ribosomal RNA
Source: RNAcentral
CAAAAGUUAAACGGCCGCGUUUAGUGCUAAGGUAGCAUAAUAAUUUGCCUUUUUAUUGGAGGCUAGUAUGAAUGGAUUAACGAAGCUUAACUGUUUCUAAUUAUAAAAGUAAAAUUGUGUUAAAGGUGAAAACCCCUUUAUUUCAGUGCAGGACGAAAAGACCCUAUAGAGUUUAUAGUGAACUAACAUUAAUAUAACAAAUAUGUUACACACUUUUAUUGGGGCAAUAAAAGAACAAGAAAACUCUUUUAAAUAAUAAAGAUUUAAAAUAUUAACAAAUUUAAGAUCCUUAAAAAGAAUAAAGAAAAACUACCUUAGGGAUAACAGCGUUAUCCUUCCAGAGAGGACUAAUCGAAGGAAGGGUUUGCGACCUCGAUGUUGGACUAAGGUAUCACUUAAGUGCAGAAGCUUAAAAAGUAAGCCUGUUCGGCUUUUAAUACCUUACAUGAUU